This 4312-nucleotide long non-coding RNA is filed under the name Anolis carolinensis (green anole). RNAcentral's name for it is "lncRNA (ENSACAG00000043714.1)". The record is from RNAcentral. Lineage: Eukaryota; Metazoa; Chordata; Lepidosauria; Squamata; Anolidae.
AUGGCUGCCUGGCAUUCCUCAACAAAAUGGAUGCCUGCCUCACUCACUGUUACCAAGGCUUCAUUCCCGGCUAAUAGGGGGAUGUCCCCAAGCUUAUUGGUUCCUUGGCUGGAAAAUCCUUGGCUGUCAUUUCCCUGUGAAAGGGAAUCCCCGCCUGGAGAUGGCAACGUCAGCAGCGCUCUCAGCCAAUCAGGCUGCAAAUCCAGACCAGCUCCUCUUUCUGCCAAUCAGGGGAGGGAGCAGGAGUUUUGAAUAGCUCUCAAACUGUGUAAGAUAUCUUGCUUUCUCUGUAUAUUUUAUUCUUGUACAAUUUUGAAGCAUCCGCUCAUACUUGCAUCCCUUUUUGCUGAACUGAAUAAACCUCUGUAGUCUGUCUUCAACCUGGUGAGUGUUCCUAUGUCCUGGCCCAUUCUGUAUAGCUUGCAUUCGCCAGGCACACAUCCUUUUCUCCACGGUCCUCAUUGUCCAAUACAGUAUGGUGUCAUCUGCACAUUUGAAGUUUUUGGAGUCAUUCUCCUGUUUUCAUGCCUGCUUCCUCUGAGUCUCAUCAUGCUUUCAGAUAUGUUCUGAAUAUAAAUAAAACAGACAGGAUGAUGAAAUUCAGGCUUGCCUAUCCCCAUUUAUUUAUUUAUUUAUCUCCCACUUUCUCCUAUGAGUAGGAUUCAAAUCCCUCGGCAAUGGGAUGCCAUUCAAUUUCUCCAUGCUGUGUCUUAAUAGUGGCUAUUUUUCCAAAUCAAUUUUCUUUCCGAAUUCAUUGGUGUGUCUCAUUAUUCUAUGUAAGAUUUCUGAUAUGAUUCAUUUCUUUUCUGAACCCAGUUUGUACAUCUGGCAUUUCUUGUAAAAUCUUAAGCAUGACUUAAUUUUAUGGGAGAUCCAAGAGUUACUACAAUCCCUAAUGUGUUUUUCUUGGAUGCUGGAAUGUAACCUGAAUGUUUCCAAUCUGUAGACAAUUGUUUUGUUUUCCAAAAAAAGUAACUGGCAAGUUUUUAUUAGAAUGAAAAAGGAUUCUUUAUCUAUGUUGUGUGUCUCAUUGUAUGUGAUUGUAAAUAAGGCAUUGAAUGUUUGCCUUUGUCUGCUUUAUAUAUACUAUAAUCCACUCUGAGUCCCUUCGGGGAAAAGGGUAGAAUAUAAAUAAAGUGUAUUAUUAUUAUUAUCCCCCCUCUAUAUCCCGAACUAAAGGAGCCCCGGUGGCGAAGUGGGUUAAAGCACUGAGCUGCUGAACUUGCAGACCGAAAGGUCCCAGGUUCAAACCCCGGGAGCAGCGUGCAUGGCAGCUGUUAGCUCCAGCUUCUGCCAACUUAGCAGUUUGAAAACACGCAAAUGUGAGUAAUCCAGCGGGAAGGUAAUGGCGCUCCAUGCAGUCAUGCCGGCCACAUGACCUUGGAGGUAUCUACGGACAACGCCAGCACUUCGGCUUAGAAAUGGAGAUGAGCACCAACCCACAGAGUCAGACAUGACUGGACUUAACGUCAGAGGAAACCUUUACCUUUUACCUAUAUCCCGAACUAGCCAUUAGAUCAUGCCAUUUUCUCCUAGUAAUUUUUGAGCUUUUUUAUCUUUGCUUUAUAAGAUUGUGGAUUAAUGGUUGUUCCUUGCAGAAAUUUGUCAUUAUUUCAUCUUUUUUCAUUGUAUCUUAGUGUGCUCUUUCUGUACAUUUUUACGUUGUCAUGAUUGUAUAAGCUACUCCAGUCAUGAGCAUAUAAAACCAUAUUCUUGGUUUGAAUUCUCAUUCAUUUCUUAGUUCUCAUGGAAGAGAUUUCUUAUUCUACAUUUUUAUUAUUUUACAUUUCUUUAUAUAUAUAGUGAUUAGCAUAUUUCAUCACAUAAUAGUCACCUCCACAUAAUAGUCACACCCCUAUUUACUGGGUGUUAAAAUGGUAUUUUUGUUUUCCUCACAUAAUAGUCACACCCCACUUGAGACUGAUUUUCCUUCCCUCCCUCUUUCCUUCUCUGAUGGCAAGGCAGUUCAAAAACUAUAAAAUGGAGGUCUCUGAAGCCCCACUCUUCUCUCUUCCCUCCUUCUUCUGAAGCAAGGCAGUUUACAAAACCUGAAAUUGAGGUCUUUGGAGAAAAGGAGGAAGGAAGGAAGGAAAGAAGGAAAGAAGGAAGGAAGGAAUAUCUGAGAUCCAGAGAACUCUAUUUCAUAUUUUUUUAACUGUCAUGCCUCAGCAGAAGUAGAGAAGAGAGAAGAGUGGAGCUUCAGAGACCUCCAUUUUAUAGUUUGUAACUGCCUUGCUUUUGGAGAAAGAAGGGAGAGAAAGAGAGAUCAAUCCCAUAUGACUCAGCAGUUUAAAAAACAAACAGAAACUGCACUGUUUUGUUUGAGGUUGGAUCAUCCCUUUUCCUCCUCCCUUUUUAGAGGUAAGGCAUUUUAUUUUUAAAAAAACACAUCAAAAAUCAAAGAAUUGAAGGCAGAUUUGUUUCCUCAUGUAAAAGUCACACACCCCUUUUAUUUAAAAAAAGGAAAGAUAUGACUAUUAUGUGAUGAAAUACAGUAUUAUACAAGUUCUCUUGCGCAAGCCCUGUAACAGUUGCAUGAAGGAUUCUGACUUUAUUUUAAUUGUGUUUGACAUGUUUAUCAGCUUUCUUUUACCCAAUUAAUAAUAAUAAUAAUAAUAAUAAUAAUAAUAAUAAACUUUAUUUAUACCCCGCCACCAUCUCCCCAACGGGGACUCGGGGCGGCUUACAUGGGGCCAUGCCCAGAACAAUACAAUAACACAGAAUAUAAAUAAAACAACAAAUCAUAACACACAACACAAUUAGACUUUCUUUGACUCCAUCUAUGCUUCCAAAUAAUGCAGUUUCAUAAUGUAGUUUGGUUGCAUUGCAUGGCAGUUUGACAGACAGUAAUUGCCAUAGCUCAGUGCUCUAGAAUUUUGGAUUCUAUGAUUUUGUGAGAUAUUUACCCUUCUCUGUCAGACAGCUGUCAUGCCACCACAAACUACAAAGCUCAGGGUUCUGCAGAAUGGAGAUAUGACAGUUAAAGCGAUGAGUCACAGUGUAGCAAUGGGUUAAAUCCUUGUGCAGCUGAACUGCUGAAAUGAAGGUUGGUUGCUGACCUGAAGGUUGGCAGUUUGAAUCCGCAAGAUGGGGUGAGCUCCCGUCUGUCAGCUCUAGCUUGUGGGGACAUGAGAGAAGCCUCCCAGCUAACACAUCUUGAUGUCCCCUGGGCAACGUCUCCAUAGACGGCCAAUUCUCUCACUCCAGAAGUGAUUUGCAGUAUGUUCUCAAGUCGCUUUUGACACAAUAAAAAAGUUAAAGUGUUACUGAACUGUUACAAUUCUGCAGCAUGGAUGGUUUACGGGAAUUGCAAUGAUUUACUCUUAUAAACAAGUUUACUUGCAAUAUCGUUUUUUAAAGGUGCAAGUGUGUGAAUAUAUAAAUGGCUUCUGUUAAAUACCCCAUUCACCAUACUAAAAAGGAAUGUUAAAUAAUAUUUUUUCUAGUUUUUCUGGAGGAAGACAUAGAGGUGGAAAAUAAGAAAUUGUUUUCCUCCUUACAAUAUUUGCUUGUACCUCUGAAUUUCUAGUACUCGUUGGAGGGAGGGGGCACACAAUUGUGCAUUCCAAUAAUUGUCCGUCCUUAGGAUGUUGAUUGUAAAUUACGUGUUCAAUGUGGCACCGCCUCUUCCUGAUCCUGCAAGGGUCACAUCAUUUCCUUAACUUCCUGCAGAGGUUGCUUGAUAUAUCCUUUCUGGGAUCCUGAAAGCUCCCUUGAGCAACUGAUUUCCUUUGUGUCUCUUGAGUCACCCUCUGUUUCUUUGUAACUCUUGGCUCACCUGCCAAUAAUUGUUAUAAGCCCCCUUUACAACUAAAAACAGCUCCUCCACUUUCAUCUUCUCGUUCAUCUAAUGGUAAGGCUUCCCUGUCCUCUGAAAAGUGUGUAUCAGAUGGCUUCUCAGUUUACUACCCUGUUUCCCUGAAAAUAAGACAUCCCCGAAAAAUAAGACCUAGUAGAAGUUUUGCUGAAUUGCUAAAUAUAAGGCCUCCCCCGAAAGUAAGACCUAGCAAAGUUUUUGUUUGGAAGCAUGCCCAGCGCCUGCCAAACAGAACACCAGAGCUUACAGGAUUGGUAAAUGUACAUACUAGUUGUACAUGGAAAUAGUGGUAGUAACAAGACAUUCUUGAUAGGAUUCAGUUUAUCUGGUUAUGUUGGUUUGUGAUGACAACUACUGUACAGUAUAUAAUAAAUGUUCAUUUUUUGUUCAACAAUAAAUGUGAAUUCUUAUUCAUAGAAAAAUAAGGCAUCCCCUGAAAAUAAGACCUAGCACAUAUUUGGGAGCAGAAAUUAGGAAUAAAGGCAAGGCCUUAAU